UGUGUUUGAACACUUGGUCUGCAGUUAGUGGCACUGUUUUGGGAGCUGCGGAGUAUUUGGGAGAGUCCUAGCAUCAGUCCAUUUUAUCCAGUAGAUUAUGUUCCCCAGUUAUUCCUUCCUUUGGGUUGCCUGUGCCCUCGGUGAGAAACCGGAUAGUGUGUGGCACACACCUGGAAUCCUAUCACUUGGGAGGUCGAAGCAGGAUGCUAAGCUCUUUGCUUCUUGCUUGGCUACACUGUGAGCGAGCUGAGAGUUCCCACCACCAGAAACUGAGAGGCGACUCUGCCAUACCAGCCAGGAUACAUAGGGACCUUGAACGUGCCAAUAGAAGCCUUCACCAACUGAAAUGUGCCCUGAGAGAAGCCAAUGUCAAUGUAGAAGAAGAUGCUCUGGAUCCUUCCACCAGCAUCAACGUAGAGAAUGAGGACACAGGGGUGGCCUGGCAUGAGCUGCAGCACAGCCAUGCUGUCAAUCAACUCAAAGCUUUGUUGCGCCAACAAGCAAGUAAGGACAAUGAGAUGUCUCCACCGCAAAGACGAAAGAUGUCCCCUGUGCAGCCAGAAUGUGAGGACAAUAGCAUGCCUACUGUGCACAACCUUGUUCCUAUCAUUAAUGACCAGUCUCAGUAUAUUCAUCAUUUAGAAGCGGAAGUUAAGUUCUGCAAGGAUGAAUUAUCUGGGAUGAAAAAUAGGGUGCAAGUGGUUGUGCUUGAGAAUGAAAGGCUCCAGCAAGAACUGAAAUCUCAAAGGCAGGAGGAGACGCUGAGGGAGCAAACACUCCUGGGUGCAUCUGGAAACAUUCAGGAUUCUUGGAUGAAGACAGGAGAAGAUUCUAGGGUGGAUGAAGCUGCAAAGAGACCAUUUUCUCACGGUGAUGCUGAAACUGGCAAAGCCACAUCCACUGGUGAUGCUGAAAAGUGGAAGCUAGAGCUGGAGAGGCUGAAACUCACAUAUGAGGCGAAGAGUGACCUUCUGGAGUCUCAGUUGAUGCUUUUGAGGAAAGACUUAGUUGAAUAUCAGAAAAACUGUGAGGACCUCAAGGAAAGAUUGAAGCAUAAAGAGUCUCUUCUGGCUGCUAGUGCGUCCAGCCGUGUGGGUGGCCUCUGUUUGAAAUGUGCUCAGCAUGAGGCUGUUCUUUCCCAGACCCAUAGCAACGUGCACAUCCAGACCAUUGAGACACUGACUAAAGAAAGGGACGACUUAAUAUCUGCGCUAGUUUCUGUGCGGAGCAGCUUGGCAGAAGUGCAGCAGAGAGAGACAAGUGCCUAUAAACAGGUAAAGCAUGCUGUGCAGAUGACCGAAGAAGCCAACUUUGAAAAGACCAAGGCUUUGAUCCAGUGUGAGCAGCUGAAGAGUGAGCUGGAGAGGCAGACAGAAAGACUGGAAAAGGAGCUUGCCUCUCAGCAAGAGAAACGGGCUCUGGAGAAGGAGAUGAUAAAGAAAGAAAUAGCCAAGGAGAGGGAGGAUGCAGAGUCCAAGAUGUUGAUACUAUCUCAGAAUAUUGCCAAGCUGGAGGCCCAGGUAGAAACGAUUACAAGGGAGAAAAUUUCAGCUGUCAGUCAACUAGAGGAAAUUCAGAACCAGCUUGCUUCUCAGGAAGUGGAUGUCACAAAGGUGUGUGGAGAAAUGCGCUUUCAGUUGAAUAAAACGAAAAUGGAGAAGGAUGAGGCAGAAAAGGAGUACAGGGAAUACAAAGCAAAAUCUCAAAAGGAUCUUGAAAUUAAAGAUCAGACUGACAGGGCAACAGAAGCAGCACCAGAUAAUGUUUUCCUCAUGAAGAAUCACCACAGCAUGAAGGAAAUAGAGAAAUUGAGACUAGAACUGAGCGAGAGCAAGCAGCAUGUGGAACAGGAGCAGCAGAAGGCAGCUCAGGCCAGACAGGAGUGUCUGCAAGUAACAGAGCUGCUGGGCGAGUCUGAGCGCCAGCUGCGCCUCACCAGACUGGAAAAAGAUAGCAUUCAGCAAAGCUUUAGCAACGAAGCAAAGACCCGAGCCCUUCAGGCCCAGCAGAGAGAGCAGGAGCUGACACAGAAGAUACAGCAAAUGGAGGCCCAGCACGACAAAACUGAAAAUGAACAGUAUUCGUUGCUGACCUCCCAGAAUACAUUUCUGACGAAGCUAAAGGAAGAAUGCUGUACCUUAGCCAGGAAGCUGGAGAAAAUCUCACAAAAAAGCAGAUCAGAAAUAGUUCGCCUCAGUCAAGAAAACAGAUAUAUGUGUGACAAGUUGGAAAAGUUACAGAAGAGAAAUGAUGAAUUGGAGGAACAGUGCAUCCAACACGGGAGGGUUCAUGAGACGAUGCAAGAAAGACUCAGGCAGCUGGAUAAGCAUGGCCAGGCCACAGCCCAGCAGUUGGUGCAGUUGCUCAACAAGCAGAAUCAGCUUCUCCUAGAGCGGCAGAGCCUGUCAGAGGAGGUGGACCGUCUGCGAGCCCAGAUAGGGAAACUGAGGCUCAAACAAGCAUAUUCAGCUAGCAAAUAGGGGCACAGCAAAUGGAAUCUAAGUCUGACUCCAGAGCCCAAGCUGUCCCCAUUCAGGUUAGAUAAUGGCGGAAGAGUCCAGUUACCCAGCAUGCCACAAUCUGAUUGCUGACCUGGAUGAAACAGAGUGAAAUAAAUGAUUUACAAAGAGAUAUUUACAUUCAUCUGAUUUGUACUUAAUGUGCCACAGUGCACCGAAACCUCCCCAGGGAGACACCACCUGGGACUGCAGGGGGGCUGGUCCUCAUGCCAUGGUCCUGUCCCUGUGCUACAGACAGGGGGCACUUCAGCAGGAACUGGCUCGGGCUACUUGGAGUGUGUGCUCAAAACAGCAUCAAGUCACUGAUUUCUGUCGUCUCUACUCUAGAGUACAUACGGGAUUAAUAAAAUGACCUCUCUAAAGA
Molecule: RNA transcript, 2883 nt
Organism: Onychomys torridus (southern grasshopper mouse)
Lineage: Eukaryota; Metazoa; Chordata; Mammalia; Rodentia; Cricetidae
Gene: Sdccag8
Gene name: SHH signaling and ciliogenesis regulator SDCCAG8
Exons: 20
Source: RefSeq, a predicted model, not a curated record